RNAcentral lists this ribosomal RNA (448 nucleotides) under uncultured bacterium. RNAcentral's name for it is "bacterial SSU rRNA". It matches the Rfam family "Bacterial small subunit ribosomal RNA", at positions 330 to 792 of the family's 1533-position model. The record is from RNAcentral.
ACCAGACUCCUACGGGAGGCAGCAGUGGGGGAUAUUGGACAAUGGGGGAAACCCUGAUCCAGCGACGCCGCGUGAGUGAAGAAGUAUUUCGGUAUGUAAAGCUCUAUCAGCAGGGAAGAAAGAAAUGACGGUACCUGAGUAAGAAGCCCCGGCUAACUACGUGCCAGCAGCCGCGGUAAUACGUAGGGGGCAAGCGUUAUCCGGAAUUACUGGGUGUAAAGGGAGCGUAGACGGUAAUGCAAGUCUGGAGUGAAAGGCGGGGGCCCACCCCCCGGACUGCUCUGGAAACUGUGUAACUGGAAUGCAGGAGAGGCAGGCAGAAUUCCUAGUGUAGCGGUGAAAUGCGUAGAUAUUAGGAGGAACACCAGUGGCGAAGGCGGCCUGCUGGACUGUAACUGACGUUGAGGCUCGAAAGCGUGGGGAGCAAACAGGAUUAGAUACCCGGGUA